Molecule: RNA transcript, 858 nt
Organism: Hyaena hyaena (striped hyena)
Lineage: Eukaryota; Metazoa; Chordata; Mammalia; Carnivora; Hyaenidae
Gene name: putative protein T-ENOL
Exons: 6
Source: RefSeq, a predicted model, not a curated record
UCCGCAGACACCGUUUAUUAUAGCAACGGGUAGCUGCACCACCCCGGGCCCCCCUCUUUCCAACCUUCCUCCCCAGCUCCUACUCCCCGUCCCCUGAGACCUAACUAGGAGCUCCUUGGCCCUCCCUGUUUACCUCUGCCCAAGACUUCAACUCUUCUGCCAGUUCCCAGGAGGAUGGCGUCCACACCUACCAGGAAUGAGGAGAAAAAGGGCAGCAAGAUGUCCCAGGCUGCAACCUCCUUGGGUGGAGGUCCGGCGAGCAUGGGGGUUUCAUUAUCCCGUUCUGAGGAAUUCCUGACCCAGAUCAGCACAGAACUUACCGAUGAGGCCUUGUUUACCGCUGGCUACCACAUGAACCCUGUGCCCACCAAGGAAAAACAGACGCAAGAGCAAGGGACUCAGAUAUCCAAACACGCCCGCCCUUGGACUGCUCAGCGCUCCCCCCCACAACUCACCCAGUACCCACUCCCCACUGCUGGCCAGGAAUCACCUCAGCACCUUCCUCCCUAACCACGUCUCUUUCUGGCUAUGGGGGUAGUAACUUCUCUGACUGAGGCUUCUACUUCCAGCGUUCUUCAAGACCCAAGGCACUGAUACCCGUUCUGACAGAAACCGUACCCGCACCAAGGCACACCUGCUGCCGUCCCCUCGUGACAAGAACGUGCAUCAGAGCUCCUCUUUCACAAGUCAUUAACACGUCACUUUGCUGGGGACUUCUGGUCAUGAGCAGUAUCACCAUCGAAGCCUCCUAGGUGUUCAGGAACCAUCACACACCUCUCUACCCUCAACUGGCAAGAACAUCACCAGAAAUCAAAGGCUUUAAUAAAAAGGCAGAGGUCCUUCCCUCCUCCCAACCCA